This 98-nucleotide transfer RNA is filed under the name Cupriavidus basilensis OR16. Its description in RNAcentral is "tRNA-Ala". It matches the Rfam family "tRNA". Rfam says of the family: Transfer RNA (tRNA) molecules are approximately 80 nucleotides in length. Their secondary structure includes four short double-helical elements and three loops (D, anti-codon, and T loops). The record is from RNAcentral. Lineage: Bacteria; Pseudomonadati; Pseudomonadota; Betaproteobacteria; Burkholderiales; Burkholderiaceae.
GGGCCGAUAGCUCAGCUGGGAGAGCGCUGCGUUCGCAAUGCAGAGGUCGGGAGUUCGAUCCUCAGAGGUCGGGAGUUCGAUCCUCCUUCGGUCCACCA